UAUAGCUGCCAUAUUAUAAAUAAGCACUGCACAAAGUCUUACUCUGCCCACAGUGACUAGUUCUGGGUCUCUAUGCUGAUCACUAUCUACUGCAAGAAAGAGAAGUUCUUCUGAUGGGGAUUGAAAGAAGCACUAAACUGUGGGUUUAAGUCUUUAAGUGUUGGUCUACUACUAUGUCAAUUUAGCUUAACAAUUUCUUUACUGUUCUCAAGUUUUUGUUAUAUAUGUCUUUCAUUCCUUGGUUUUAAUUUUUUCAAGGUAGUUUGUAUUUUUGAAACUAUUAUGAAUUGGGUUGUUUCUUUUAUUUCUUCUUCAGUAGGUUUGUUGUUGGUAUACAGGAAGGAUAGUGGUUUUUAUUAUGUUAAUUUUAUAUCCAGCUAGGCCUAUGAUCUACCUAAGCUUGGAAUUGUGAUUCUUUUAAUGAUGUCAAGUAUGAGUUCUGUCUUGUGGGGUAGGACUUAAAUCCAAUCAGAAAGUGGUUUAUUUCUCCCAUAAUAUUUAUGCUACUCCUGCAUCAACAGGUAUAGCUUUCCUGGAGGGUGGUUAUUAUAGGUCACAGAGUUCAUAGCUAAGACUGAUCAUAAAUUUUCUCCCAUGGUACAUGCAUAGUAUCUGCCAGCACUAUGAAAGUUACCCAGUCAGGAUGAAACUUCCUGUCUGUGAUAGCACGAUUGCUCCACAUUCUAGGACACAGUAUGCAAUGCUUUCACAAUGGGAUCUUAUCAUCAAGUUUCCAUAUUCUCUCCACUACCCUGCCUUUCCUGUGCCAAACCCAUGUAACUCUUCUUAUUUCUCUAUUCCACACCCUUCCUUCCUGUAUUCUGUCUCUUCUCCUUUCAAAGACCCUCCCAUACCCUCUUACUGGUUUCCUGAUAUCUAUGGGUACUGUAAUUUAAACAGACAGAUAAAGGUUCAAAGCUACCAUCCACACAUGAAAGAGAACAUGUGAUGUUCAUCUUUCUGGGUCCAGGUUAUCAACAUCCCUUCGUGAUAAAAGUCCUGGAAAAUCUAGGGAAAUGGGGUAUAUACCUCGCAUAAUACAGUUAAAAUAUAUCAAUCUUACUGCCUACAUGACCCUACAUGGAGAAAAAGUCAAAGUGGUUUUAGGGUCAUCACUAUCCCAUUUUAAGUUAUACUAGAGAGAUAUAGUAAUAAAACAACAUGAAGCUGCCAUAAAAAGUGAUUCAUUGAACAAUGGAGUAGAAUUGAGUACCCAUGUGUCAGCCCACGUGCCUAAUUUUGGACAAAAAAGCCAUUAAUACAUGCUGGACAAAAGAUGGAAUCUUCAACAAAUGGUGCUGGUCCAAUUGGAUAGAUUCAUAUAGAUUCCCUGUUGCACUUCCUGAACAAAUGCCAGCCAAGUCCAAUGGAUCAAGCACUUCAACAUCAAGCCUGAUCUCCUAAAUCCUAUAGAAGAAAAAGGCAUGGAUAUGCUUGAACUCACAGACACUGGAAAUGAUUUUCUCAAUAGGACUCUGACAGUACAGGCAUUAUGACAAACAGUUGACAAAUUCAUGAAAUUAAAAUGCUGUAUAGCAAAGAACACCAUCAUUGGAACAAAGAGCCAGCUUUUGAAUGGGAAAAAUCUUUACUAGCUAUUCAUCUGAGACCUAUGGUCUAGAAUAUACAGACAACAACAACAACAACAAAUUCUUACCACCUAGAAAACAACAAUCCAAUUAAAAAUUGUUGCCUAUGGCUAAGUAAUGCCUUUUAAAUGUUCAGCAUCCUUAGCUUUCAGAAAAACACAAUGGCUAAGAUAAAC
This 1765-nucleotide long non-coding RNA is filed under the name Mus musculus (house mouse). Its description in RNAcentral is "long non-coding RNA chrX:58656369-58658134". The record is from RNAcentral. Lineage: Eukaryota; Metazoa; Chordata; Mammalia; Rodentia; Muridae.